This 253-nucleotide ribosomal RNA is filed under the name uncultured bacterium. Its description in RNAcentral is "partial 16S ribosomal RNA". It matches the Rfam family "Bacterial small subunit ribosomal RNA", at positions 524 to 776 of the family's 1533-position model. The record is from RNAcentral.
AACGUAGGACGCAAGCGUUAUCCGGAGUUACUGGGCGUAAAGCGCGGGCAGGCGGUCGCUUAAGUCUGAUGUGAAAUCUCCCGGCUCAACCGGGAGCAGCCAUUGGAAACUAGGCGACUGGAGUCUGACAGAGGUAGGCGGAAUUCCGGGUGGAGUGGUGAAAUGCGUAGAGAUCCGGAGGAACACCAGAGGCGAAGGCGGCCUACUGGGUCAGUACUGACGCUGAGACGCGAAAGCCAGGGGAGCGAACGGG